This 334-nucleotide unclassified non-coding RNA is filed under the name soil metagenome. Its description in RNAcentral is "partial contains 5.8S ribosomal RNA, internal transcribed spacer 2, and large subunit ribosomal RNA". The stretch from base 1 to 120 matches the Rfam family "5.8S ribosomal RNA", at positions 35 to 154 of the family's 154-position model. The record is from RNAcentral.
GAUGAAGAACGCAGCGAAAUGCGAUAAGUAAUGUGAAUUGCAGAAUUCAGUGAAUCAUCGAAUCUUUGAACGCACAUUGCGCCCCCCAGUAUUCUGGCGGGCAUGCCUGUUCGAGCGUCAUUUCAACCAUCAAGCCCUGCUUGUGUUGGGGUCCUGCGGCUGCCCGCAGGCCCUGAAAACCAGUGGCGGGCUCACUAGUCACACCGAGCGCAGUAGCACAUCUCGCUCAGGGCGUGCGGCGGGCUCCAGCCGUUAAAGCACCCACCUUUCGCAAGGUUGACCUCGGAUCAGGUAGGAAUACCCGCUGAACUUAAGCAUAUCAAUAAGCGGAGGA